GACGAACGCCGGCGGCGUGCUUAACACAUGCAAGUCGAACGAUGAAGCCGGAGCUUGCUCUGGUGAAUUAGUGGCGAACGGGUGAGUAACACGUGAGUAACCUGCCCUUGACUCUGGGAUAACUGCGGGAAACUGUAGCUAAUACCGGAUACGACCCUCGGAGGCAUCUCCUGGGGGUGGAAAGAAUUUCGGUCAAGGAUGGACUCGCGGCCUAUCAGCUAGUUGGUGAGGUAAAGGCGCACCAAGGCGACGACGGGUAGCCGGCCUGAGAGGGUGACCGGCCACACUGGGACUGAGACACGGCCCAGACUCCUACGGGAGGCAGCAGUGGGGAAUAUUGCACAAUGGGCGCAAGCCUGAUGCAGCAACGCCGCGUGAGGGAUGACGGCCUUCGGGUUGUAAACCUCUUUUAGCAGGGAAGAAGCGAAAGUGACGGUACCUGCAGAAAAAGCACCGGCUAACUACGUGCCAGCCGCCGCGGUAA
RNAcentral lists this ribosomal RNA (484 nucleotides) under uncultured bacterium. RNAcentral describes it as "partial 16S ribosomal RNA". It matches the Rfam family "Bacterial small subunit ribosomal RNA", at positions 28 to 523 of the family's 1533-position model. The record is from RNAcentral.